This 438-nucleotide ribosomal RNA is filed under the name Cuapetes amymone. RNAcentral describes it as "partial 16S ribosomal RNA". It matches the Rfam family "Archaeal large subunit ribosomal RNA", at positions 2002 to 2639 of the family's 2987-position model. The record is from RNAcentral. Lineage: Eukaryota; Metazoa; Arthropoda; Malacostraca; Decapoda; Palaemonidae.
AAAGGGCCGCGGUAAUUUGACCGUGCGAAGGUAGCAUAAUCAUUUGUCUCUUAAUUAGAGGCUGGAAUGAAUGGCUGGAUGAGGGAUCAAGUGUCUCGUUUGUAUAAUUAGAAUUUUACUUUUAAGUGAAAAGGCUUAAAUAAUAUUAAGUGAAGAUAAGACCCUAUAAAACUUGUAUAUACAUUAAUAUAUAAUUUUUUAGAAUAGGUUUAAAUUUAUGUGUGUUGUGUAUAUUUUGUUGGGGCGACAAAAAUAGAAAUGUAUCUGUUAUUAUAAUGAGUUAGUAUUUAUUAAAUUUUGAGCCUUUAAUAUGGAUUAAAAGAACAAGUUACUUUAGGGAUAACAGCGUAAUUUUCUUUGAGAGAUCUAAUCGACAAGAGUAGUUGCGACCUCGAUGUUGAAUUAAAAUUUUCUAAUUGGUGCAGCAGCUUAGUUAGA